UUAUUGUGAAAGGUCACUUAGCAUGCGCAGCCAGCUACAAAAGUAAACGGUACACGGUAAUGACGGUAAGAGGCACAGAGAGAGUAACGAGUGAUACAAAAAGGCAACCAUAAACGGGAGAGUAAAGUGUAACAAGGAAUUUAGCUCCAGUUGAAAGUGGCAACAAGCUCUUACGUUGGUCCUAUGUUGAGCUACGUUGGUCUAAGUUGGACUUGCAAACUGCAGCCUGGUUUAUGACCUGCAAUAAAAGACAUUUGACCAUCAGUCCUGGCUUUCACUAAUUUCGACUGGUACGCUACAGUAAGAGCUUGACCAUCCUCCACACCAUGCUGCACAACGUGGUCCCACGGUCUCUAGCUACAAACCCACAACGGACAGCAGGUCGCAGAAGCUGGUCAGGAAAAUAAAGAGAAAAGGAAGGCUACACUAAAAAUGGAAGGAGCAGCGGCCUCUUCCAGAGGAUGUCAAUGAAGAAAUUGCUAUUCUGCAAAAGAAAAUUCAAGAUUAUAAAGGCCUGCUUGAAAAUUCAAGUGAACAUACAAAGCAAGAAAUACAGGAAACAAUCAAAUUUAAGGAAAAGAUGUAUGGAGGACUAAAAGUGCCAAAAUUAAAUAAAUAAAUACAUCAUUAAAUAAUUAAUUAAAUAUGUCAUUAAUUAAUUAAAAUUGGAAUUAAAUAUUUCAUUAAUUAAUUAAAAUUGGAAUGAAAUACUUAAAUGUGUUAUUAAAUAAAUAUAUCAUUAAAUAAUUAAAUAUGUCAUUAAUUAAUUAAAAUUGGCAUUAAAUAUGUCAUUAAUUAAUUAAAAUUGGCAUUAAAUAUGUCAUUAAUUAAUUAAAAUUGGAAUUAAAUACAUAAAUGUGUUAUUAAAUAUGUCAUUAAUUUAUUAAAAUAACAAUUAUUUUAAGUAAAAAACAUAUUUCAUUAUUUCACUAUUUAAUUAAUUAUUUCAUGGUCCUUGCGUUGCAGUGGAUCAUGAAUUUAUUUUAUCUGUCAACCUCGCCCGUCAAAGUCGGUGGGCGGAUCCUAACACCUGAUUGGUUACCCUGCACAUCAAGUCAAGGCAAAUCGAUUCCAGAUAAUGGAUUGACGCAGAGCUUGUGAACACAUUCCGAUACACUGGGUGGCGCUAUUCACCUCUACGUUGGUUUGGAUACUCAAUAAAACAAAACUUUAUUAGCAACCGCUAAAGACUCGGUCCUCUUUCCCAAAUGUUGAUACAUGCGGUGCAAGACAAAUUUUCCUUUAGCAUUUCCUUUAGCAUCUACUCGGCGCGCCACGGCUCGUCUCGGUUUAGUUGUUUUUCCAUUACAUUGAGUACCACCUCAUCGUGGGUUGAGUCGUCAUAGCACGGUGGCCCGAAAGUCCCUUACCGUCAUUUUUGUGCGACACAAACGCAAUGCAACAAUGUACAUGGAGGCGAUAGUACACCUGCUGCUCGGUCUGUGGCUUUCUGUCAGAUUCAGAGUAACAGAAGAGUCGGAGAAAGCUGAGAGCGGCGAGUCGAAACACUCAGGAGACACACAGGAGAGUUUGGGAGGCGAUACAGCAGUAUCAAGCUGAAGACGAGGAUAUGAACGAGACGACAUAUAAGGAUGCUCUCUGAUGAGACUUCAUGGGAUUUACCUGAAGCAGCAGCACAUGAGCCUGCAGUGGCACAAGGUGUAGAGGAGGAGGGCAGAGAUGUACAGGAUGCACUGAUGCACUACGUGUCAUGCAAAAGUUAAAAGUUGUUCUUCUUGUUAUACUUCUGUUUUUCUGUCCCCGGACCGCUAUUGUUUUCUUUAAUGCAAUUCUGACAAUAAACUUUUGUAGAUGUG
Molecule: long non-coding RNA, 1817 nt
Organism: Amphiprion ocellaris (clown anemonefish)
Lineage: Eukaryota; Metazoa; Chordata; Actinopteri; Pomacentridae
Exons: 3
Source: RefSeq, a predicted model, not a curated record